GACGAACGCUGGCGGCAUGCCUAACACAUGCAAGUCGAACGAGAUCUUCGGGUCUAGUGGCGCACGGGUGCGUAACGCGUGGGAAUCUGCCCUUUGGUUCGGAAUAACAGUUGGAAACGACUGCUAAUACCGGAUGAUGACGAAAGUCCAAAGAUUUAUCGCCAGAGGAUGAGCCCGCGUAGGAUUAGCUAGUGGGUGUGGUAAAGGCGAACCAAGGCGACGAUCCUUAGCUGGUCUGAGAGGAUGAUCAGCCACACUGGGGCUGAGACACGGCCCAGACUCCUACGGGAGGCAGCAGUGGCGAAUCUUGGACAAUGGGCGAAAGCCUGAUCCAGCAAUGCCGCGUGAGUGAUGAAGGCCUUAGGGUUGUAAAGCUCUUUUACCCGGGAUGAUAAUGACAGUACCGGGAGAAUAAGCUCCGGCUAACUCCGUGCCAGCCGCCGCCGUAA
This 449-nucleotide ribosomal RNA is filed under the name uncultured bacterium. RNAcentral describes it as "partial 16S ribosomal RNA". It matches the Rfam family "Bacterial small subunit ribosomal RNA", at positions 28 to 523 of the family's 1533-position model. The record is from RNAcentral.